This 254-nucleotide ribosomal RNA is filed under the name uncultured bacterium. RNAcentral describes it as "partial 16S ribosomal RNA". It matches the Rfam family "Bacterial small subunit ribosomal RNA", at positions 524 to 776 of the family's 1533-position model. The record is from RNAcentral.
UACGGGGGGAGCAAGCGUUGUUCGGAUUUACUGGGCGUAAAGGGCGCGUAGGCGGCCAGCACAGGUCAGUUGUGAAAUCUCCGAGCUUAACUCGGAAAGGUCAACUGAUACUGUGCGACUAGAGUGCGGAAGGGGCAACUGGAAUUCUCGGUGUAGCGGUGAAAUGCGUAGAUAUCGAGAGGAACACCGGCGGCGAAGGCGGGUUGCUGGGCCGACACUGACGCUGAUGCGCGAAAGCCAGGGGAGCGAACGGG